Molecule: ribosomal RNA, 441 nt
Filed under: uncultured bacterium
Lineage: Bacteria
Description: partial 16S ribosomal RNA
Rfam family: Bacterial small subunit ribosomal RNA
Source: RNAcentral
CCUACGGGUGGCAGCAGUGGGGGAUAUUGCACAAUGGGGGAAACCCUGAUGCAGCGACGCCGCGUGUGUGAAGAAGUAUUUCGGUAUGUAAAGCUCUAUCAGCAGGGAAGAAAAAAGACGGUACCUGACUAAGAACCCCCGGCUAACUACGUGCCAGCAGCCUCGGUAAUACGUAGGGGGCAAGCGUUAGUCGGAUUUACGGGGCGUAAAGGGAUCGGAGGCGGCAAUACAAGUCGGAAGUGAAAUACCCGGGCGCAACCUGGGAACUGCAUUGGAAACUGUAUGGCUAGAGUCCUGGAGAGGUGAGCGGAAUUCCUGGGGUAGCGGUGAAAUGCGUAGAUAUUAGGAGGAACACCAGUGGCGAAGGCGGCUUACUGGACAGUAACUGACGUUGAGGCUCGAAAGCGUGGGGAGCAAACAGGAUUAGAUACCCGGGUAGUC